Molecule: ribosomal RNA, 621 nt
Filed under: bacterium C-23
Lineage: Bacteria
Description: bacterial SSU rRNA
Rfam family: Bacterial small subunit ribosomal RNA
Source: RNAcentral
UUAGAUACCCUGGUAGUCCACGCCGUAAACGAUGUCGACUUGGAGGUUGUGCCCUUGAGGCGUGGCUUCCGGAGCUAACGCGUUAAGUCGACCGCCUGGGGAGUACGGCCGCAAGGUUAAAACUCAAAUGAAUUGACGGGGGCCCGCACAAGCGGUGGAGCAUGUGGUUUAAUUCGAUGCAACGCGAAGAACCUUACCUACUCUUGACAUCCAGAGAACUUUCCAGAGAUGGAUUGGUGCCUUCGGGAACUCUGAGACAGGUGCUGCAUGGCUGUCGUCAGCUCGUGUUGUGAAAUGUUGGGUUAAGUCCCGCAACGAGCGCAACCCUUAUCCUUUGUUGCCAGCGGUUAGGCCGGGAACUCAAAGGAGACUGCCAGUGAUAAACUGGAGGAAGGUGGGGAUGACGUCAAGUCAUCAUGGCCCUUACGAGUAGGGCUACACACGUGCUACAAUGGCGCAUACAAAGAGAAGCGACCUCGCGAGAGCAAGCGGACCUCAUAAAGUGCGUCGUAGUCCGGAUUGGAGUCUGCAACUCGACUCCAUGAAGUCGGAAUCGCUAGUAAUCGUGGAUCAGAAUGCCACGGUGAAUACGUUCCCGGGCCUUGUACACACCGCCCGUCA